GAGGGUAUAGCUCAAGUGGCUGAAUGCAUGCUUAGCAUGCAUGAGGUCCUGGGUUCAAUCCCCAGUACCUCCU
Molecule: transfer RNA, 73 nt
Filed under: Camelus dromedarius (Arabian camel)
Lineage: Eukaryota; Metazoa; Chordata; Mammalia; Artiodactyla; Camelidae
Also listed under: 1 other name
Rfam family: tRNA
About the family: Transfer RNA (tRNA) molecules are approximately 80 nucleotides in length.
Source: Rfam by way of RNAcentral